RNAcentral lists this ribosomal RNA (872 nucleotides) under uncultured bacterium. Its description in RNAcentral is "bacterial SSU rRNA". It matches the Rfam family "Bacterial small subunit ribosomal RNA", at positions 28 to 896 of the family's 1533-position model. The record is from RNAcentral.
GAUGAACGCUAGCGGNAGGCUUAAUACAUGCAAGUCGAGGGGCAGCACAGGUAGCAAUACUGGGUGGCGACCGGCAAACGGGUGCGUAACACGUACACAACUUUCCGUUAAGUGGGGCAUAGCCCGGGGAAACCCGGAUUAAUACCCCGUAAUAUAUAGAAAAGGCAUCUUUUUUAUAUUAUAGGCUUCGGCCGCUUGAUGAUGGGUGUGCGGCUGAUUAGGUAGUUGGCGGGGUAAUGGCCCACCAAGCCUUCGAUCAGUAGCUGAUGUGAGAGCAUGAUCAGCCACACGGGCACUGAGACACGGGCCCGACUCCUACGGGAGGCAGCAGUAAGGAAUAUUGGUCAAUGGGCGAAAGCCUGAACCAGCCAUGCCGCGUGGAGGAUGAAGGUCCUCUGGAUUGUAAACUUCUUUUAUUUGGGACGAAAAAAGGGAAUUCUUUCUCACUUGACGGUACCAGAUGAAUAAGCACCGGCUAACUCCGUGCCAGCAGCCGCGGUAAUACGGAGGGUGCAAGCGUUAUCCGGAUUCACUGGGUUUAAAGGGUGCGUAGGCGGGCAGGUAAGUCAGUGGUGAAAUCUUUGGGCUUAACCCGAAAACUGCCAUUGAUACUAUCUGUCUUGAAUAUUGUGGAGGUGAGCGGAAUAUGUCAUGUAGCGGUGAAAUGCUUAGAGAUGACAUAGAACACCCAUUGCGAAGGCAGCUCACUACGCAUAUAUUGACGCUGAGGCACGAAAGCGUGGGGAUCAAACAGGAUUAGAUACCCUGGUAGUCCACGCCCUAAACGAUGGAUACUCGACAUACGCGAUACACUGUGUGUGUCUGAGCGAAAGCAUUAAGUAUCCCACCUGGGAAGUACGACCGCAAGGUUG